AUCACCUGGACAGCUUGUUAAAAUGCAGAUUCCACUUCAGUGGGCCUAAGAGUCUGCAUUUCUAACAGGUUGCCAUAUGCUGCUAA
Non-coding RNA from Myotis lucifugus (little brown bat), 86 nucleotides. Lineage: Eukaryota; Metazoa; Chordata; Mammalia; Chiroptera; Vespertilionidae. The record is from Rfam.